UACGAAGGGGGCUAGCGUUGCUCGGAAUCACUGGGCGUAAAGCGCACGUAGGCGGACUCUUAAGUCGGUGGUGAAAUCCUGGAGCUCAACUCCAGAACUGCCUUCGAUACUGAGAGUCUUGAGUCCGGGAGAGGGAUGUGGAAUUCCAGGUGUAGCGGUGAAAUGCGUAGAUAUCUGGAGGAACACCGGUGGCGAAGGCGGCAUCCUGGACCGGUAUUGACGCUGAGGAGCGAAAGCCAGGGGAGCAAACGGG
Molecule: ribosomal RNA, 253 nt
Filed under: uncultured bacterium
Lineage: Bacteria
Description: partial 16S ribosomal RNA
Rfam family: Bacterial small subunit ribosomal RNA
Source: RNAcentral